This 31-nucleotide ribosomal RNA is filed under the name Halimeda discoidea. RNAcentral describes it as "partial 28S ribosomal RNA". RNAcentral also lists the same sequence under 2 other names. The record is from RNAcentral. Lineage: Eukaryota; Viridiplantae; Chlorophyta; Ulvophyceae; Bryopsidales; Halimedaceae.
ACCCGCUGAACUUAAGCAUAUCAUUAAGCGG